Long non-coding RNA from Wasmannia auropunctata (little fire ant), 1019 nucleotides. RefSeq lists it as uncharacterized. The transcript is spliced from 3 exons. The record is from RefSeq and is a predicted model, not a curated record. Lineage: Eukaryota; Metazoa; Arthropoda; Insecta; Hymenoptera; Formicidae.
AGGUGAACAUUUUACUAGCACAUCUGAUAUCUGCACAUCGACCGAUAAUAGAAAAAUUGCGAAACGAAAUUAAACAUACAGAGUUAUCACGAUAUUUCGCAUUCGACGUAGGAUGUGUUAACACAAGAUGCAUUAGGUGCGACGAAGAAAUCAGUAUUUUUGCUGGAAUGAAAAAUUUAGAAGACCAUUUGCUCCUCCAUCAUAAAAUAGAUUUCCAAUUUAAAGCUAUCCAAGAGGCAACAUUAAAAUUGAACCACUGGACUAACUGACAUUCGCAAGCUUGAAAAAAAUCGAGAACAGUGAUUUAAUCAAGAAGAAGAACAACAGGGACAGCGAGAAUAUUGAUUUCAGAUUGAUAGCAUCAGAUUUCGAAAGCAUCAAUGUGUUUAGCAGUCAUGACUCCGAUAUCUCAAAUGGACCGAAAUAAAUAAGCAUGACGAGUAAUUAUUCGCUUUGCAUUUUUACUGUAAAGCGAUUUUAUGAAUUACGUAACUUUUCUACAAUUAUAUAAUCUACAAGCAUUUAUUAACCAUUUUGUUAAUUAUUUUCUAAUUAACUCAGUACAAAUAUUUAAAUUUUUUAUGUUGAUAUACAUAUUCUUUUAUCUAUCUCGUGUAACAUUAGGUACAUUGUAAUUACAAAAAUAUCCGGAUAAUAUGGUAUUUAAAUUAUUCAAUAUAAUUUAUUAUCCAAUAUAAUUAAAAUUCACAAUCAAAUUUAGGAAUUUGAAUUAUAUGGAUAAUCCAUACAUUAUUAUUCCAAGAACAGAAUCUAAGACUUUGUUAAUUCAUAUUCAAACUAUUCAGUAUAAAAACAUGAAAUCGUAAAAUACGAUAUUAUAAAUUUAUACAAAUAAAAAAAGGAAUUUUAUCAGUGAAUAAAUGAUGAAUAUAUCAGAUAUCAGAUAAUUAAAAUUGUGAGAAUAGGUUUACUGUCGUAAAUCUCUACGUAUCAUUCAAUUAAUGUAAAAUUAAUCAUUAUCAGUCGAGACAAUAUUUAAAUAUAUUUAAUUAUAUAUA